This 67-nucleotide transfer RNA is filed under the name Coleoptera sp. 25 KM-2017. Its description in RNAcentral is "tRNA-Ser". Lineage: Eukaryota; Metazoa; Arthropoda; Insecta; Coleoptera. The record is from RNAcentral.
GAACUAAGAAAUUCAAGAAUAAGCUUCUAACUUAAGUCUUAAGCGGCGCACCUCCGUUUUUAGUUCU